AGAGUUUGAUCCUGGCUCAGGAUGAACGCUAGCUACAGGCUUAACACAUGCAAGUCGAGGGGAAACGACAUCGAAAGCUUGCUUUUGAUGGGCGUCGACCGGCGCACGGGUGAGUAACGCGUAUCCAACCUGCCCACCACUUGGGGAUAACCUUGCGAAAGUAAGACUAAUACCCAAUGACGUCUCUAGAAGACAUCUGAAAGAGAUUAAAGAUUUAUCGGUGAUGGAUGGGGAUGCGUCUGAUUAGCUUGGUUGGCGGGGUAACGCCACCAAGGCUACGAUCGAGGUAGGGGUUCUGAGAGGAACGGUCCCCCANAUUGGAACUGAGACACGGUCCAAACUCCGUACGGGAGGCA
RNAcentral lists this ribosomal RNA (356 nucleotides) under uncultured bacterium. RNAcentral describes it as "bacterial SSU rRNA". It matches the Rfam family "Bacterial small subunit ribosomal RNA", at positions 8 to 350 of the family's 1533-position model. The record is from RNAcentral.